ACUCUAGUCUGGCACUGUGAAGAGACAUGAGAGGUGUAGAAUAAGUGGGAGACCCUCGCGGCCGCCGGUGAAAUACCACUACUCUUAUCGUUUUUCCACUUACCCGGUGAAGCGGGGCCCCCGAGAGGGCCCUCGAUUCUGGAGUCAAGCGAUAACUGGCUUGUGGCGGUUGGGUUGGGGUUUUGGUGGAGGUGCUGUGU
Molecule: non-coding RNA, 200 nt
Filed under: Gasterosteus aculeatus (three-spined stickleback)
Lineage: Eukaryota; Metazoa; Chordata; Actinopteri; Perciformes; Gasterosteidae
Description: Eukaryotic large subunit ribosomal RNA
Rfam family: Eukaryotic large subunit ribosomal RNA
Source: Rfam by way of RNAcentral